UAAUACUCUUCGGUUGUCUUAUCAUCACUUUAAAGUACAUAUAUAAUCAUAAAUGAAAGGUUCCUGAAGUUAGGAAAAGAAAAAAUAAUAACUUUUUUGGGUAUCCAUACAAUAUUUAGAUGACAUCUUUUGAAAUAUUCUAUCAUAAGGUAUAUUUCACAUUUAUUUUUAGGUGCUUCUUGGAUAAUAACUCAUUCUCUUUUACGGGGCAUUUUUGUACUCUCUGGAAUCUGGGAUGCAAAAUCAGGGCGAUAAUUAUAACCAUACUCACAUAUGUGUUCAAUGCACUUGACAACUCUUAAAUGGUUCACAGGUUUUGGACAACCGUCAUCAGUUACACGCUGAAAAACCUCUGCUUACCACCACGAAUUUUUGCUGGUAAAAUAAUUAAGAAAAUAAAUAAAUUCAUAGCAUAAAAAUCCUUGAGAAUUUCAGCCAUAUUUG
Molecule: long non-coding RNA, 444 nt
Filed under: Medicago truncatula (barrel medic)
Lineage: Eukaryota; Viridiplantae; Streptophyta; Magnoliopsida; Fabales; Fabaceae
Description: lncRNA gene33595
Source: RNAcentral